GGGGUACAAAUAGGUGUACCAUGUGUCUAUGAAUAUAGAGAUAAUGCAUGAAUAGACCAUACUGUGAAUAAAUAAUAUAAUGGGUUCCACCUUUAAAUAAUGGAUUCAAUUGGUAUCUGAAAAUAUACAGGAAAUAUUAUAUUGAUAUACAUAUAUUCAUUCCAACAAGUUAUACAUCUAAUGGUAAUAUUAGGAUUCUCCAAUUUGAGUCCUACUGACUGUGGGGUUUAGAUUCCUUUUGUGAAUUGGAGGCAUGAGAAAACCCAAGCACUAUUGGCAAGCCAAUGCAGGGCUUUGAAGAACCCAUUUGACCCAAAGUAUCCCUAUUCUUACUUGAUGGAGGUCAGUACCCUAACAGAGGAAAGCAAGAGACUUCAUCCACAAUGACUGCUCUUUUGGCCAUUUUGGUUUUGGAUGCACACAUGGGAUCUUUCUUUAGAUCCAUCAGGUGCUUAGAAUCUAAGCCACAGCCUCACACAGGGCCAAGAGGCGGAUUCAGACACAUCCCUUUCCAAAGCAAUUAAGCAAAGAGCCACAGGAGAUGCACAUUCAUUUCCAUUUGAAAACUAUUUUAUUCAGGCUUUAUCAUGAAGAGUGUGUGAGUUUUGCUAAAAAAGUGAUUAUGGAAACUGAAUAUAAUGUGUUUGGAAUGAAGUCUCAUGAAAAGACCAGUCAAGAAACCUGGAGGAAUCCAUGUGUUCUGAAGCAGGAAGUGAUUGAAAGUGAAACAAAUGCCUAUAAGUUUGCAAACUUGUGGAUGAAAUAUAUAUCCUAUGGUGUGCAUAAAUUGAAG
This 793-nucleotide long non-coding RNA is filed under the name Marmota monax (woodchuck). Lineage: Eukaryota; Metazoa; Chordata; Mammalia; Rodentia; Sciuridae. The record is from RNAcentral.